UGGCAAUGAUUAAAUAUUUAUCCGCGCUUCUGAGAGAAAUCGAUGAAGCAGAGAUACAGAUAUGGUUGAAUUUCUUGAUAUGAGCCG
Small nucleolar RNA from Hevea brasiliensis (rubber tree), 87 nucleotides. The record is from RefSeq and is a predicted model, not a curated record. NCBI's taxonomy places the organism in Eukaryota, Viridiplantae, Streptophyta, Magnoliopsida, Malpighiales, Euphorbiaceae.